AGAAAGCUGGAGGGCAGGGAAAUGGGCCGAGUCCUGCAUCAUCCACCGAGUGGGGGCUGUGGAUAGGUGCGGCGCUGCUUCCCUGGAGGGAAACGCUCCAUCUUGCGGGCCGAAGCGCGAGUGCUGCUCUGUGACAGCCUCCGGCCGCGGCCUUCCCAGCUGCUACCGCCGCUUUUCGGAUGGGCUGUGAUAGAUGGAGUAGCAGCGAAGACUGCUAGAAGAGCGUUUUCAGUCGGCCUUUAGUGAUUCGUAAAACCAAAUUAGCUGGUUUCUACUUGGAAGGGGUACAGAAGAUCAAACUCUCCCAAAAAGUAGAGAUUAAACAACAACUAAAGAUGGCGAAUCAUAGAAGAGAACAAUAGAGUGAAGAAAAAGGAUGUUUAAGCCUAAAUCCAAGACUGAGGUACAAGACCAAGAAAAGUGGGGCAGAA
This is a long non-coding RNA of Gorilla gorilla gorilla (western lowland gorilla), 431 nucleotides long. RefSeq lists it as uncharacterized. Lineage: Eukaryota; Metazoa; Chordata; Mammalia; Primates; Hominidae. The record is from RefSeq and is a predicted model, not a curated record. The transcript is spliced from 3 exons.